This is a small nuclear RNA of Perognathus longimembris pacificus (Pacific pocket mouse), 107 nucleotides long. NCBI's taxonomy places the organism in Eukaryota, Metazoa, Chordata, Mammalia, Rodentia, Heteromyidae. The record is from RefSeq and is a predicted model, not a curated record.
GUGCUCACUUUGGCAGCACACAUACUGAAAUUGAAAUGAUACAGAUAAGAUUAGCAUGGCCCCUGCACAAGGAUAACACGAAAAUUCGUGAAGGGUUCCAUAUUUUU